GACGAACGCUGGCGGCGUGCUUAACACAUGCAAGUCGAACGGAAAGGCCCUGCUUUUGUGGGGUGCUCGAGUGGCGAACGGGUGAGUAACACGUGAGUAACCUGCCCUUGACUUUGGGAUAACUUCAGGAAACUGGGGCUAAUACCGGAUAGGAGCUCCUGCUGCAUGGUGGGGGUUGGAAAGUUUCGGCGGUUGGGGAUGGACUCGCGGCUUACCAGCUUGUUGGUGGGGUAGUGGCUUACCAAGGCUUUGACGGGUAGCCGGCCUGAGAGGGUGACCGGCCACAUUGGGACUGCGAUACGGCCCAGACUCCUACGGGAGGCAGCAGUGGGGAAUAUUGCACAAUGGGCGGAAGCCUGAUGCAGCAACGCCGCGUGCGGGAUGACGGCCUUCGGGUUGUAAACCGCUUUCGCCUGUGACGAAGCGUGAGUGACGGUAAUGGGUAAAGAAGCACCGGCUAACUACGUG
This 468-nucleotide ribosomal RNA is filed under the name uncultured bacterium. RNAcentral's name for it is "partial 16S ribosomal RNA". It matches the Rfam family "Bacterial small subunit ribosomal RNA", at positions 28 to 507 of the family's 1533-position model. The record is from RNAcentral.